UUUCUGCGCCAGCCAGGCCUCCAGGGGUCCAGAGCAGCCACUUCUCCUGUCAUGUGUCCCUCUCCACCGGGGCUUCCAAGACUCUGUCCCUCGUCCGCGUGAGUGGACACGGGCUGUGCCACCACCCCUCCAGGGGCCACUCCUGGCCCACCUGGAGGAGCGCCGGCUGCUGAAGCGGGGCAAGACCUGCGAAGGAUGGGAGGCCGGAGAGCCCUGGAUCCGACAGGCCCGUCCUCUCCUCCCUCCCGCUCUCUGGGAGAAGAUCUGGAUAACCUGGGUGGUGUCAUUUACCUAGGACUUUAGGAAACUUCCGGAUUUCAUUGCUGCUCUGUACUGAGAAUUCCCAGGAGCCACCCCUCAGCAGGGCCUGCCACGGUGGGUCGAGGAUGGAUGCUGAGCACGCCUGGAGGCUGAACGAAGAUCCCCUGGGAGCCAGGCCCCAGCACCCGUGCUCUCCAGUGGAAAAGCUCGCAAACAGG
Long non-coding RNA from Balaenoptera acutorostrata (minke whale), 479 nucleotides. RefSeq lists it as uncharacterized. The record is from RefSeq and is a predicted model, not a curated record. The transcript is spliced from 3 exons. NCBI's taxonomy places the organism in Eukaryota, Metazoa, Chordata, Mammalia, Artiodactyla, Balaenopteridae.